Molecule: ribosomal RNA, 448 nt
Filed under: uncultured bacterium
Lineage: Bacteria
Description: partial 16S ribosomal RNA
Rfam family: Bacterial small subunit ribosomal RNA
Source: RNAcentral
GCCCAGACUCCUACGGGAGGCAGCAGUGGGGGAUAUUGCACAAUGGGGGGAACCCUGAUGCAGCGACGCCGCGUGGGUGAAGAAGCGCCUCGGCGCGUAAAGCCCUGUCAGCAGGGAAGAAAAUGACGGUACCUGAAGAAGAAGCCCCGGCUAACUACGUGCCAGCAGCCGCGGUAAUACGUAGGGGGCAAGCGUUAUCCGGAUUUACUGGGUGUAAAGGGAGCGUAGACGGCAGUGCAAGUCCGGAGUGAAAGCCCGGGGCUCAACUCCGGGACUGCUUUUGAAACUGUACAGCUUGAUUGCAGGAGAGGCAAGUGGAAUUCCUAGGGUAGCGGUGAAGUGCGUAGAUAUUAGGAGGAACACCAGUGGCGAAGGCGGCUUGCUGGACUGUACCUGACGCUGAGGCGCGAAAGCGUGGGUAGCGAACGGGAUUAGAUACCCGGGUAGC